CAUGGUCUAGCGGUUAGGA
Molecule: non-coding RNA, 19 nt
Filed under: Mus musculus (house mouse)
Lineage: Eukaryota; Metazoa; Chordata; Mammalia; Rodentia; Muridae
Source: RNAcentral